Molecule: long non-coding RNA, 457 nt
Organism: Sorex araneus (European shrew)
Lineage: Eukaryota; Metazoa; Chordata; Mammalia; Eulipotyphla; Soricidae
Exons: 3
Source: RefSeq, a predicted model, not a curated record
AAAAGGGAGAGUCUACAAAGUUUUUGUUUUCUGUUGGUUUGGGGGCCACAUCCAGCAGUGGUCAGGGGCUACUCCUGGCUCUGCACAAGAGACCACAUUCAGUGCUGGGGAUUGAACCAGGGUCAGCAGCAUGAAGCUAUUGGACACAAGCACCUAAACAUCAAGAUGAUCAGUAUCAUGGCAGGGCAACCUUGAAGGCAUUUUCAAGAAUUCAAAAGUUUGGAAUGAAGAGACAGUUCAAUGAGCUGGAGCACACAUUUUGCAUAAAGAAGGUUUGAUCCUUGCGCACCACCAGGAGCAACCACACAAUCACAAACUUUCCUACCUGCUUAAAAGUCCUCAUAAUAUUGUGGACACCACACCGUUUUCCCCCGACAAGGGAAAGCAAACCAAGAAAGAUCUUUCUCCUCCUCAGCCGGCAUGGGGUUAUGGCCUAGUUCACAGUCUAGAGACAUUG